RNAcentral lists this ribosomal RNA (578 nucleotides) under uncultured Gammaproteobacteria bacterium. Its description in RNAcentral is "bacterial SSU rRNA". It matches the Rfam family "Bacterial small subunit ribosomal RNA", at positions 1 to 575 of the family's 1533-position model. The record is from RNAcentral. Lineage: Bacteria; Pseudomonadati; Pseudomonadota; Gammaproteobacteria.
UGAGUUUGAUUAUGGCUCAGAUUGAACGCUGGCGGCAGGCCUAACACAUGCAAGUCGAGCGGUAACAGGACUAGCUUGCUAGUUGCUGACGAGCGGCGGACGGGUGCGUAACACGUAGGAAUCUGCCCGGUAGUGGGGGAUAGCCCGGAGAAAUCCGGAUUAAUACCGCAUACGCCUUACGAGGGAAAGGAGGGGCCUCUUCGGAGCCUUUCGCUAUCGGAUGAGCCUGCGUCGGAUUAGCUAGUUGGUGGGGUAAAGGCCUACCAAGGCGACGAUCCGUAGCUGGUCUGAGAGGAUGAUCAGCCACACUGGGACUGAGACACGGCCCAGACUCCUACGGGAGGCAGCAGUGGGGAAUAUUGCACAAUGGGGGAAACCCUGAUGCAGCCAUGCCGCGUGUGUGAAGAAGGCUCUAGGGUUGUAAAGCACUUUCAGCGAGGAGGAAAGGUUGCUGGUUAAUACCCAGCGGCUGUGACGUUACUCGCAGAAGAAGCACCGGCUAACUCCGUGCCAGCAGCCGCGGUAAUACGGAGGGUGCGAGCGUUAAUCGGAAUUACUGGGCGUAAAGCGUGCGUAGG